GAUGAACGCUGGCGGCGUGCCUAAUACAUGCGAGUCGAGCGAACAGACGAGGAGCUUGCUCCUCUGACGUUAGCGGCGGACGGGUGAGUAACACGUGGAUAACCUACCUAUAAGACUGGGAUAACUUCGGGAAACCGGAGCUAAUACCGGAUAAUAUAUUGAACCGCAUGGUUCAAUAGUGAAAGACGGUUUUGCUGUCACUUAUAGAUGGAUCCGCGCCGCAUUAGCUAGUUGGUAAGGUAACGGCUUACCAAGGCGACGAUGCGUAGCCGACCUGAGAGGGGGAUCGGCCACACGGGAACUGAGACACGGUCCAGACUCCUACGGGAGGCAGCAGUAGGGAAUCUUCCGCAAUGGGCGAAAGCCUGACGGAGCAACGCCGCGUGAGUGAUGAAGGUCUUCGGAUCGUAAAACUCUGUUAUUAGGGAAGAACAAAUGUGUAAGUAACUAUGCACGUCUUGACGGUACCUAAUCAGAAAGCAACGGCUAACUACGUG
RNAcentral lists this ribosomal RNA (497 nucleotides) under uncultured bacterium. Its description in RNAcentral is "partial 16S ribosomal RNA". It matches the Rfam family "Bacterial small subunit ribosomal RNA", at positions 28 to 507 of the family's 1533-position model. The record is from RNAcentral.